This 1005-nucleotide ribosomal RNA is filed under the name Salmonella enterica. Its description in RNAcentral is "partial 16S ribosomal RNA". It matches the Rfam family "Bacterial small subunit ribosomal RNA", at positions 1 to 995 of the family's 1533-position model. RNAcentral also lists the same sequence under 2 other names. Lineage: Bacteria; Pseudomonadati; Pseudomonadota; Gammaproteobacteria; Enterobacterales; Enterobacteriaceae. The record is from RNAcentral.
AAAUUGAAGAGUUUGAUCAUGGCUCAGAUUGAACGCUGGCGGCAGGCCUAACACAUGCAAGUCGAACGGUAACAGGAAGCAGCUUGCUGCUUUGCUGACGAGUGGCGGACGGGUGAGUAAUGUCUGGGAAACUGCCUGAUGGAGGGGGAUAACUACUGGAAACGGUGGCUAAUACCGCAUAACGUCGCAAGACCAAAGAGGGGGACCUUCGGGCCUCUUGCCAUCAGAUGUGCCCAGAUGGGAUUAGCUUGUUGGUGAGGUAACGGCUCACCAAGGCGACGAUCCCUAGCUGGUCUGAGAGGAUGACCAGCCACACUGGAACUGAGACACGGUCCAGACUCCUACGGGAGGCAGCAGUGGGGAAUAUUGCACAAUGGGCGCAAGCCUGAUGCAGCCAUGCCGCGUGUAUGAAGAAGGCCUUCGGGUUGUAAAGUACUUUCAGCGGGGAGGAAGGUGUUGUGGUUAAUAACCACAGCAAUUGACGUUACCCGCAGAAGAAGCACCGGCUAACUCCGUGCCAGCAGCCGCGGUAAUACGGAGGGUGCAAGCGUUAAUCGGAAUUACUGGGCGUAAAGCGCACGCAGGCGGUCUGUCAAGUCGGAUGUGAAAUCCCCGGGCUCAACCUGGGAACUGCAUUCGAAACUGGCAGGCUUGAGUCUUGUAGAGGGGGGUAGAAUUCCAGGUGUAGCGGUGAAAUGCGUAGAGAUCUGGAGGAAUACCGGUGGCGAAGGCGGCCCCCUGGACAAAGACUGACGCUCAGGUGCGAAAGCGUGGGGAGCAAACAGGAUUAGAUACCCUGGUAGUCCACGCCGUAAACGAUGUCUACUUGGAGGUUGUGCCCUUGAGGCGUGGCUUCCGGAGCUAACGCGUUAAGUAGACCGCCUGGGGAGUACGGCCGCAAGGUUAAAACUCAAAUGAAUUGACGGGGGCCCGCACAAGCGGUGGAGCAUGUGGUUUAAUUCGAUGCAACGCGAAGAACCUUACCUGGUCUUGACAUCCACAGAA